UCCAUGGUGUUAUUCGCCCCCUAGUGGAGAUUUCUGGUACUUAGACUGUACACAAACAGAAAGUAGAGAAUUGUUCCGCACGCAUAGAAGCAGCUAAAAACAACGCUACGGUGCAGUUCUUUCAGUGUAGAUAUUUCUUGUCACGCUUCAGCCUCGGAAAAUAUUUGUUUUUUCACAACAUAAACGUUUUCAAUAUAGUUAGUCAAGAAAAGUCACGCCUUGGGAGUUUUAUUGAAGACUUAGUUGUUAGCUAUCUGUCUAGUUUUGCUUGGGAACGCAACUCAAGGGCAGAAUAGUGAAAAAACAUCAUCAUGGCAGGCUCAAGCACAGGAAUAACCACACAUGCUGGAUAUGUUUCUACGUUCAUCAGCCAACAAAGACUCUUAUCCUAGGGAAGACCAGCAGUCUACGAUGCAACAAUCAGAGCCAGGUGUUCAACAGAGAGAGAUGGAGGAGCCUCUUCAGCACAUUGGUUAGCUAUCUAACCUAGUUUUGCAUGGGAACGCAACUCAAGGGCAGAAUAAUGACCACAUUUCCCAAAGAUUACAAUGGCCUAGAGACCAAUGUCCUAUAGACUGGAGGUGCUUUAAAACCAUUCCUCUUUCCACUCCAGCCUCUUCUGAAGUGAAGGACAAUGCCCUUCAAUUGGAAAUACUGCAUGCUAUUGAUUUUCCUUAGCUGUUUUCAUAUAGUCUCUUUCACCCACGAUACAAUAUUUGGGUAGAAAGCUAUUGUAGAAAAUUGUACUUUUUUUUACACUGUAAGACUGUUUCGAAACUGCUUCCUCUGCUUCUGAUGUACUAAAAACAGUAAUCUCUUUUCAUAGUAACAGGAUUGGUUGAACCUGCUCUACUGUACCAUAAGUGGCAUAAACACUCACAAAUAAAGACGGCCAGUAUUCACAAAUAGGGAUAUUUUCUACUUUUAAUUGCAUUGAAACUGAACCUAAACUAUUCUGAAACACAUUUCACAUACAUAACAAAAUAUGAACUAAAUUAAGUAAAGUAUAGUGGGGGAGAAAGGGGGAGAAUGAGGGAGUUGAUUAGCUAGAAGUAAACAAUGCAUAAUUAUGUAAUCACCAAUUGUGAAUGAAGAGCAGGGCGGGCCAUAUUAUAUUGCAUUGAUCUAUUCUAAUUAUCUCAAAAUGGUAUGUAGGCCUACCCUAUAUCAGUCCACCGAAUCCAAGCAGUCUCAUCAGUCUACUUUAAAAUAUAUAUUUAUUUUACCCGGUAGUUGACUGAGAACACAUUCUCAUUUACAGCAACAACCUGGGGAAUAGUUACAGGGGAGAGAGGAUGAAUAAGCCAAUUGGAAUCUGGGGAUGAUUAGGUGGCCAUGAUGGUAUGAGGGCCAGAUUGGGAAUUUAGCCAGGACACCGGGGUUAAUAUCCCUACUCUUAUGAUAAGUGCCAUGGGAUCUUUAGUGACCACAGAGAGUCAGGACACCCAUUUAACAUCCCAUCUGAAAGAUGGCAUAGGGCAAUAUCCACAAACACUGCCCUGGGGCAUUGGGAUCUUUUUUUAGACCAGAGGAAAGAGUGUCCCCUACUGGCCCUCCAACACCACUUCCAGCAGCAGCAGCAACUCUUAUCCAGGGACUGACCAGGACCAACCCUGCUUAGCUUCAGUGGCAUGCCAGCAGUGGGAUGCAGCGUGGUAUGCUGCUUGAGUAUAGGUGUACUCUGGCCUAGUUGGAGUACACAAUGAGAGCGUGCGUAAUUUACAAUGACAAGAAGACCAAGACAAAUGGAUGCUACAAAAUCGGAAGGAAAAUGACUCAGAUGGUGGGGAAGAAUGAAUGGCAUCUCUGAGUAUACUUCUGAUUCUGAGACUAAGCCUGAACCUCCAUCUCCGAUGCCUAAGCGCAAAAAAGACAGAGCGGUGUGCACUGAGCAGGUGCCCCUGCUAACACCAAAUGAAAUGGUGAGCGGGAGAGAGGAAGGGACAGCACAGUUUGGAUAGAAUAAGCUGCUGACUGUUACAAUGCUAUGGGCCUGUUCUCUGAUCGCUGAGAGAGCAGGGCCUACAUCUCAAGCAAAAAACAAAAAACACCAGCUAUCGUUGUUUAUUUGACAUGGACAUGCUGCAACUAAUGCCAUUGCAUGAAGAAACACCAUGUAAGCACGAGCUGACAAUAAUAAAAUAUAUAUUUUACUGCUAUCAUAUCAACACUUACAGUAUAUUCAUUAUAAUGCCAUUAAUCCUUUUAUGCAAAUUUUUACAAUUUAUCAAGCACUCUUGGCGCUUCUAAAGUUGUUUAUGCUACUGAUUAUUUCAUAAUUUGACUGCAUGUCUUGCUGUCAAUGUUCCAGGUGAAUGGAAUAAAGCGGAGUCAGGCGCAGGACACAGGUAUGAGUAAAGCCACGAUAUUUACUCAAUAUCAACAAUAAUCCAACAAGGAUAAACAUAAACAAUCCAGAACACGUACACGGAACCACUUGACAAAAACAAUAACGCACAAAACAAAAGGGGAAGCCAGAGGGUUAAAUAAGGAACAUGAUUAUGGAAUGGAAACCAGGUGUGUACAAUGAAGACAAAACAAAACGAAAAUGAAACACGGAUCGGUGGUGACUAGAAAGCCGGUGACAUCGACCGCCGAAUGCCGCCCGAACAAGGAGAGGGACCAACUUCGGAGGAAGUCGUGACACUUGCUGACCAUGCAUCUUGGUGGUUGGGGUAUUUUUUUUUAUUUUGGCAGUAUUUAAAAAACAUUUACACAUUCCGUUUCAUAGUGGUAAUAAAGGCACUCCACGAAUAAAAAUUAUUUAACUCUUGAAUAUAGGUGUUUUUAGUGUUUUUUUGUUUUUACAUACUGUAUAGCUUACAGUAACAUAAACUAAUGAAAAUGCUGUUGUGUAAAAAAUUCUAAUGUUACUUAAGACCUUCAUAAACAGAAUCAAAUAAUUAUUUUUGCGAUAGCAUAUAUGAAAUGUAUUAAUUACACAGUUACAAUGUUGCAGUCAGAAUGACUGCUCAUUAGCUUGAAGGGGGGGUCGAGGUCCCUCGAGGUCCAGCAGUUUUAGUUAACCCAAUCAGUCCUGAGACCCCAGCAAAAAACGGCUUUCACUUUCAUUUAUCUGCAAGUCCAUCCCUUAUAUUUAGCCUCACAAUGAAAUGUAUGGUGGAAAAUUAGAAGAUGAUGUUUUAAUACUGUUUACGCAUCGAAUAAGGUUUCUCAGUACUGUCUCAUCUGUGUCUGUGGGACUGAGUUGGGCCUCUGGGGCUUGGCGCUGGCAAUUGAUUUAUGAUGGCUUGGUGAUAAAACCUACAGCCUGCAUUCCAUUGAAUGAUUAGUGUCUGUGAAAGACUGGCCUGUCUGCCAGGGCCAGGUGAACCCUCAGUCCAGUUUCUCUCCCACAUACAGAUGAACACUGGACUUCAAGAAUUGUGAUGAGAACCCAGUGUUCCAUGUUGCAUUAGUAUCUGUGUGUUAAGGAAUGCGAAACUGAGAAAAUAACCAUGUAUUAACAAGCAGUUAAUGACCUAGAGACAGAAACCUGGCGCAAUGUAAAUCUUGCUGUCUGUUGCUUGAUGGCACAAUGUACCUUUGUAUAAUUCUACACAUUUGUUUGUUGUUUGUCAUGAACAUUCAGGAGGAUAUACUUUGCUAUUGUCACGCCCUGACCUUAGAGAUCCCUAUUAUUCUCUAUGUUUGGUUAGGUCAGGGUGCGACUCGGGUGGGAAAGUCUAUGUUUUCUAUUUCUGUGUUUUGGCCGGGUGUGGUUCCCAAUCAGAGGCAGCUGUCUAUCGUUGUCUCUGAUCGGGGAUCAUAUAUAAGUUGUCGUUUUCGUGUCUGUACCUGACAGAACUGUGCACUUUCGUUUUCACUUUGGUUAAUUUGUUUGAGUGUUUUUGAAAAUAAAAAUGAUGAACACUUUC
This is a long non-coding RNA of Salvelinus fontinalis (brook trout), 3878 nucleotides long. RefSeq lists it as uncharacterized. The record is from RefSeq and is a predicted model, not a curated record. The transcript has 2 exons. NCBI's taxonomy places the organism in Eukaryota, Metazoa, Chordata, Actinopteri, Salmoniformes, Salmonidae.